RNAcentral lists this ribosomal RNA (402 nucleotides) under uncultured Sphingomonas sp. RNAcentral describes it as "bacterial SSU rRNA". It matches the Rfam family "Bacterial small subunit ribosomal RNA", at positions 355 to 774 of the family's 1533-position model. Lineage: Bacteria; Pseudomonadati; Pseudomonadota; Alphaproteobacteria; Sphingomonadales; Sphingomonadaceae. The record is from RNAcentral.
UGGGGAAUAUUGGACAAUGGGCGAAAGCCUGAUCCAGCAAUGCCGCGUGAGUGAUGAAGGCCUUAGGGUUGUAAAGCUCUUUUACCCGGGAUGAUAAUGACAGUACCGGGAGAAUAAGCCCCGGCUAACUCCGUGCCAGCAGCCGCGGUAAUACGGAGGGGGCUAGCGUUGUUCGGAAUUACUGGGCGUAAAGCGCACGUAGGCGGCUUUGCAAGUUAGAGGUGAAAGCCCGGGGCUCAACUCCGGAAUUGCCUUUAAAACUGCAUCGCUAGAAUUGUGGAGAGGUAAGUGGAAUUCCGAGUGUAGAGGUGAAAUUCGUAGAUAUUCGGAAGAACACCAGUGGCGAAGGCGACUUACUGGACACAUAUUGACGCUGAGGUGCGAAAGCGUGGGGAGCAAACA